UCCCCGGGCUUAACCUGGGAACUGCAUGUGAUACUGGUGGUGCUAGAAUAUGUGAGAGGGAAGUAGAAUUCCAGGUGUAGCGGUGAAAUGCGUAGAGAUCUGGAGGAAUACCGAUGGCGAAGGCAGCUUCCUGGCAUAAUAUUGACACUGAGAUUCGAAAGCGUGGGUAGCAAACAGGAUUAGAUACCCUGGUAGUCCACGCCGUAAACGAUGUCUACUAGCCGUUGGGGUCCUUGAGACUUUAGUGGCGCAGUUAACGCGAUAAGUAGACCGCCUGGGGAGUACGGCCGCAAGGUUAAAACUCAAAUGAAUUGACGGGGGCCCGCACAAGCGGUGGAGCAUGUGGUUUAAUUCGAUGCAACGCGAAGAACCUUACCUGGUCUUGACAUAGUGAGAAUCCUGCAGAGAUGCGGGAGUGCCUUCGGGAAUUCACAUACAGGUGCUGCAUGGCUGUCGUCAGCUCGUGUCGUGAGAUGUUGGGUUAAGUCCCGCAACGAGCGCAACCCUUUUCCUUAUUUGCCAGCGGGUUAAGCCGGGAACUUUAAGGAUACUGCCAGUGACAAACUGGAGGAAGGCGGGGACGACGUCAAGUCAUCAUGGCCCUUACGACCAGGGCUACACACGUGCUACAAUGGUAGGUACAGAGGGUUGCUACACAGCGAUGUGAUGCUAAUCUCAAAAAGCCUAUCGUAGUCCGGAUUGGAGUCUGCAACUCGACUCCAUGAAGUCGGAAU
Molecule: ribosomal RNA, 734 nt
Filed under: uncultured bacterium
Lineage: Bacteria
Description: bacterial SSU rRNA
Rfam family: Bacterial small subunit ribosomal RNA
Source: RNAcentral